GACAGAGGUGCCAAGCGUUAGGCGGAAUCACUGGGCUUAAAGCGUGUGUAGGCGGGUCGUUAAGUACCUUGUGAAAUCCCACGGCUUAACCGUGGAACUGCUGGGUAUACUGGCGAUCUUGAGCCACUUAGGGGUCAGCGGAACAAAUGGUGGAGCGGUGAAAUGCGUAGAUAUCAUUUGGAACGCCAAUGGUGAAAACAGCUGACUGGGAGUGUGCUGACGCUGAGACACGAAAGCCAGGGGAGCGAACGGG
Molecule: ribosomal RNA, 253 nt
Filed under: uncultured bacterium
Lineage: Bacteria
Description: partial 16S ribosomal RNA
Rfam family: Bacterial small subunit ribosomal RNA
Source: RNAcentral